CUGAUUGAGAUUUUAACACGAAGUGAGUGGCGAACGGGUGAGUAACACGUGGGUAACCUGCCCAGAAGUAGGGGAUAACACCUGGAAACAGAUGCUAAUACCGUAUAACAGAGAAAACCGCAUGGUUUUCUUUUAAAAGAUGGCUCUGCUAUCACUUCUGGAUGGACCCGCGGCGUAUUAGCUAGUUGGUGAGGUAAAGGCUCACCAAGGCAGUGAUACGUAGCCGACCUGAGAGGGUAAUCGGCCACAUUGGGACUGAGACACGGCCCAGACUCCUACGGGAGGCAGCAGUAGGGAAUCUUCCACAAUGGACGCAAGUCUGAUGGAGCAACGCCGCGUGAGUGAAGAAGGGUUUCGGCUCGUAAAGCUCUGUUGUUAAAGAAGAACGUGGGUAAGAGUAACUGUUUACCCAGUGACGGUAUUUAACCAGAAAGCCACGGCUAACUACGUGCCAGCAGCCGCGGUAAUACGUAGGUGGCAAGCGUUAUCCGGAUUUAUUGGGCGUAAAGCGAGCGCAGGCGGUCUUUUAAGUCUAAUGUGAAAGCCUUCGGCUCAACCGAAGAAGUGCAUUGGAAACUGGGAGACUUGAGUGCAGAAGAGGACAGUGGAACUCCAUGUGUAGCGGUGAAAUGCGUAGAUAUAUGGAAGAACACCAGUGGCGAAGGCGGCUGUCUGGUCUGCAACUGACGCUGAGGCUCGAAAGCAUGGGUAGCGAACAGGAUUAGAUACCCUGGUAGUCCAUGCCGUAAACGAUGAUUACUAAGUGUUGGAGGGUUUCCGCCCUUCAGUGCUGCAGCUAACGCAUUAAGUAAUCCGCCUGGGGAGUACGACCGCAAGGUUGAAACUCAAAAGAAUUGACGGGGGCCCGCACAAGCGG
Molecule: ribosomal RNA, 877 nt
Filed under: Pediococcus pentosaceus
Lineage: Bacteria; Bacillati; Bacillota; Bacilli; Lactobacillales; Lactobacillaceae
Description: bacterial SSU rRNA
Rfam family: Bacterial small subunit ribosomal RNA
Source: RNAcentral